GGCCCAAUAGCUCAGGGAUCAGAGCACUGGUCUUGUAAACCAGGGGUCAUGAGUUCAAAUAUCACUGGGACCU
RNAcentral lists this transfer RNA (73 nucleotides) under Ailuropoda melanoleuca (giant panda). It matches the Rfam family "tRNA". From Rfam's summary of the family: Transfer RNA (tRNA) molecules are approximately 80 nucleotides in length. Their secondary structure includes four short double-helical elements and three loops (D, anti-codon, and T loops). Further hydrogen bonds mediate the characteristic L-shaped molecular structure. tRNAs have two regions of fundamental functional importance: the anti-codon, which is responsible for specific mRNA codon recognition, and the 3' end, to which the tRNAs corresponding amino acid is attached (by aminoacyl-tRNA synthetases). tRNAs cope with the degeneracy of the genetic code in two manners: having more than one tRNA (with a specific anti-codon) for a particular amino acid; and 'wobble' base-pairing, i.e. permitting non-standard base-pairing at the 3rd anti-codon position. The record is from Rfam by way of RNAcentral. Lineage: Eukaryota; Metazoa; Chordata; Mammalia; Carnivora; Ursidae.